AUUGAACGCUGGCGGAAUGCUUUACACAUGCAAGUCGAGCGGCAGCGCGGGGGCAACCCUGGCGGCGAGCGGCGAACGGGUGAGUAAUGUAUCGGAACGUACCCAGUCGUGGGGGAUAACUAUCCGAAAGGAUAGCUAAUACCGCAUACGACCUGAGGGUGAAAGCGGGGGACCGCAAGGCCUCGCGCGAUUGGAGCGGCCGAUAUCGGAUUAGCUAGUUGGUGAGGUAAAGGCUCACCAAGGCGACGAUCCGUAGCUGGUCUGAGAGGACGGCCAGCCACACUGGAACUGAGACACGGUCCAGACUCCUACGGGAGGCAGCAGUGGGGAAUUUUGGACAAUGGGGGCAACCCUGAUCCAGCCAUUCCGCGUGAGUGAAGAAGGCCUUCGGGUUGUAAAGCUCUUUCAGCAGGAACGAAACGGCUCUCUCUAACAUAGGGAGUUAAUGACGGUACCUGAAGAAGAAGCACCGGCUAACUACGUG
Molecule: ribosomal RNA, 484 nt
Filed under: uncultured organism
Description: bacterial SSU rRNA
Rfam family: Bacterial small subunit ribosomal RNA
Source: RNAcentral